Molecule: ribosomal RNA, 253 nt
Filed under: uncultured bacterium
Lineage: Bacteria
Description: partial 16S ribosomal RNA
Rfam family: Bacterial small subunit ribosomal RNA
Source: RNAcentral
UACGAAGGGUGCAAGCGUUACUCGGAAUUACUGGGCGUAAAGCGUGCGUAGGUGGUGAGUUAAGUCUGUCGUGAAAGCCCCGGGCUCAACCUGGGAAUGGCGAUGGAUACUGGCUCGCUAGAGUGCGGUAGAGGAGAGUGGAAUUCCCGGUGUAGCAGUGAAAUGCGUAGAGAUCGGGAGGAACACCAGUGGCGAAGGCGACUACCUGGCCCAUUCUUGACGCUGAGGCGCGAAAGCUAGGGGAGCGAACGGG